UGGGGAAUCAUAGUCAAUGGGCGAAAGCCUGAUGCAGCAACGCCGCGUGAGCGAUGAAGGCCUUUGGGUCGUAAAGCUCUGUCCUUGGGGAAGAACAAAAUGACGGUACCCUUGGAGGAAGCCCCGGCUAACUACGUGCCAGCAGCCGCGGUAAUACGUAGGGGGCGAGCGUUAUCCGGAAUUAUUGGGCGUAAAGAGUGCGUAGGUGGUCUUGUAAGCGGGGGGUGAAAGGCAUCGGCUUAACCGAUGUUAGCCCCCCGAACUGUGAGACUUGAGUACAGGAGAGGAAAGCGGAAUUCCUAGUGUAGCGGUGAAAUGCGUAGAUAUUAGGAGGAACACCAGUGGCGAAGGCGGCUUUCUGGACUGAAACUGACACUGAGGCACGAAAGCGUGGGGAGCAAACA
Molecule: ribosomal RNA, 404 nt
Filed under: uncultured prokaryote
Description: bacterial SSU rRNA
Rfam family: Bacterial small subunit ribosomal RNA
Source: RNAcentral